CAGGUGCAAUAGGUAGUUGCUGGUAGCGUAAGCUACGAGAGGAAAGUCCGGGCUACAGGUGAGACAGGACUCCAUCUAACGGAUGGCCAGAGUAAUCUGAGGGCAAGUGCAACAGAGAGUAGACCGCCAAGCCUUUGGCUUGGUAAGGGUGAAAGGGUGGGGUAAGAGCCCACCAGUGCUUGUGGUAACAUAGGCAGCUAGGUAAACCCUGUCCGUAGCAAGAAGUAUAUGGUAUGAGUCUCACAAGCCAUUAAAUUGGCACUCAUACUUCGCUUGAGCGUAUUGGCAACAAUACGCCUAGAUAAAUAACUACCCACGACAAAACCCGGCUUAUCGUUGCACCUGAUUU
This 349-nucleotide RNase P RNA is filed under the name Sulfurovum sp. RNAcentral describes it as "RNase P RNA component class A". It matches the Rfam family "Bacterial RNase P class A". Rfam says of the family: Ribonuclease P (RNase P) is a ubiquitous endoribonuclease, found in archaea, bacteria and eukarya as well as chloroplasts and mitochondria. Its best characterised activity is the generation of mature 5'-ends of tRNAs by cleaving the 5'-leader elements of precursor-tRNAs. The record is from RNAcentral. Lineage: Bacteria; Pseudomonadati; Campylobacterota; Epsilonproteobacteria; Campylobacterales; Sulfurovaceae.